CCUAACUUGUUACAGUUAAAUUAUCGAUAUAUCAAUUUCAUAUUUAAUCGCGUGUGCAGGAUGUAGAUAUAAUAAUUUUUACUGGGUACGUAUUACCUUUUCUACAAGUAAAAAUGUAUGUAUUUUUGUCUAUUUAUCUGAUUUCCUGUUUUAAAAUAUUAUAAUUUAUAACUGACCUGUUAUACUGAGAAAAAAAUUAUUAUUUGUAAAUGUAUUUACACCAAAAGAAGUAAAAAAAUAAACUUAAUUAUGUUUUUUUUUUUUUUAAUAACACCACGAUAGCGUGCUUAAAAUUAGUCAUUGCUCGUAUUGUGCUGCUGUACCAUAAUGGGAAUUCAGCCAGAUCUCUGUACAACAGUCAACAGGAUACGCUGUCACAAUAUUAUUUUCAAUAGUACCUAACUACUGAAUAUACCCCUGAAUAUACAUUUUAUUGGAUCAACAUACAGUUAAAUCUAAUACUGUGAUAAUAACAUUGAUAAUUUACAUGUGCAAUAAUUUUUCAAAUAGGCUAUAUGAUGUACGCGAGUUGAACAACAAGCUUAAUUGAUACAUGUAUUUGUAUAUAUAUUGUGCACAAUGAAAACGAGUGAAGAGACCUAACCCCAGAGAUUCAUCGUCGUAAAAUAGUUACAUAGGUUUGAUGAAAUUUUAAAAAUACAAUCAAUCCGAAGACCAGAGUUCACCGGAUUUAAAUGGUGUAUAUAACAUUUAAAAUCAAUCAGCAGCUUAUUUUUUUUUAACAGUGUAUUUUAUAGUAAUUCAAGAGUUUAAAUAAUCUUGUUUUUGACGAAUAUAUUAUGUAAGUAUACAUUUCAAUGGUGUUGCGCUCUGUAAUGGAAUAGAUUAAUGAUUAUCGUCAGUAAAGCAUAUUUUUUAUCGUCUA
Metopolophium dirhodum (rose-grain aphid) is the source of this 886-nucleotide long non-coding RNA. RefSeq lists it as uncharacterized. The record is from RefSeq and is a predicted model, not a curated record. The transcript has 4 exons. NCBI's taxonomy places the organism in Eukaryota, Metazoa, Arthropoda, Insecta, Hemiptera, Aphididae.